AUUGAACGCUGGCGGCAUGCCUUACACAUGCAAGUCGAACGGCAGCACGGGUGCUUGCACCUGGUGGCGAGUGGCGAACGGGUGAGUAAUACAUCGGAACGUACCUUAUCGUGGGGGAUAACGCAGCGAAAGCUGUGCUAAUACCGCAUACGCCCUGAGGGGGAAAGCGGGGGAUCGCAAGACCUCGCGCGAUUAGAGCGGCCGAUGCCUGAUUAGCUUGUUGGUGGGGUAAAAGCCCACCAAGGCGACGAUCAGUAGCUGGUCUGAGAGGACGAGCAGCCACACUGGGACUGAGACACGGCCCAUACUCCUACGGGAGGCAGCAGUGGGGAAUUUUGGACAAUGGGGGCAACCCUGAUCCAGCAAUGCCGCGUGAGUGAAGAGGGCCUUCGGGUUGUAAAGCUCUUUUGUCAGGGAAGAAACACCGGCUCUAACACAGUCCGGGAAUGACGGUACCUGAAGAAUAAGCACCGGCUAACUACGUGCCAGCCGCCGCAGUAA
This 501-nucleotide ribosomal RNA is filed under the name uncultured bacterium. RNAcentral describes it as "partial 16S ribosomal RNA". It matches the Rfam family "Bacterial small subunit ribosomal RNA", at positions 29 to 523 of the family's 1533-position model. The record is from RNAcentral.